Molecule: ribosomal RNA, 484 nt
Filed under: uncultured bacterium
Lineage: Bacteria
Description: partial 16S ribosomal RNA
Rfam family: Bacterial small subunit ribosomal RNA
Source: RNAcentral
AUUGAACGCUGGCGGCAGGCCUAACACAUGCAAGUCGAGCGGAUGAAGGGAGCUUGCUCCUGGAUUCAGCGGCGGACGGGUGAGUAAUGCCUAGGAAUCUGCCUGGUAGUGGGGGAUAACGUCCGGAAACGGGCGCUAAUACCGCAUACGUCCUGAGGGAGAAAGUGGGGGAUCUUCGGACCUCACGCUAUCAGAUGAGCCUAGGUCGGAUUAGAUAGUUGGUGGGGUAAAGGCCUACCAAGGCGACGAUCCGUAACUGGUCUGAGAGGAUGAUCAGUCACACUGGAACUGAGACACGGUCCAGACUCCUACGGGAGGCAGCAGUGGGGAAUAUUGGACAAUGGGCGAAAGCCUGAUCCAGCCAUGCCGCGUGUGUGAAGAAGGUCUUCGGAUUGUAAAGCACGUUAAGUUGGGAGGAAGGGCAGUAAGUUAAUACCUUGCUGUUUUGACGUUACCAACAGAAGAAGCACCGGCUAACUUCGUG